GAUGCCCGACCUGCCCGCCACCUGUCCAUGCUGUUGCAAUGGCCUGCACGUCGAGGAUCAUGAUUCCGGUAAUGAUCGUGCUUCUCCAAGAAGGAUCGACCCCGCCGAUGGACAGCAGCUAUUAUUGAAUCCCCACCGGUAAUUCCUUCUCCUCGUCCUUUCCUCUCUUGAUUCCCUUCGUUCUCUUGUUUUCCUUCCCGACUAAUUCUUCUCCGUGUUCCAGGUCUACAGUCCCAACCAGCUCCGAGCACGAGUCCCUGUCGCCGCCUCACUCUGCUGAUCACUCCCUUAUUCCUCGCUGUUUCAAUUCUUCCUUUGUAAUCCCUAUUUUCGCAAUUAAUAAAGAUCACAGAGUUCUCCAUCUU
This 365-nucleotide long non-coding RNA is filed under the name Zostera marina. Its description in RNAcentral is "long non-coding RNA (ZMAR_LNC004853)". Lineage: Eukaryota; Viridiplantae; Streptophyta; Magnoliopsida; Alismatales; Zosteraceae. The record is from RNAcentral.